Molecule: unclassified non-coding RNA, 2304 nt
Filed under: Hermetia illucens (black soldier fly)
Lineage: Eukaryota; Metazoa; Arthropoda; Insecta; Diptera; Stratiomyidae
Description: uncharacterized LOC119650419, transcript variant X2
Source: RNAcentral
CAAAAAUACCAACCAACAUUUAACUCAACAACCUAAACUCUGAAUUUCAAAGAUAGUCUUUGAGAAAUCACGCUCUGGAAUACACCUGGCCUCCGAGGUUCCGCAUAUGAAUGCGUUUGAACAGGUAUUGUGUAAUGCAGAAAGAUCUUGCAAUAUGUCGAAUUGGAACGUGCUUCUCACUUCGCGCAAUGAUCAUUGUUGUCAUUCAAUCGAGCGCCUUAAUAUACUUCGGUAGUGAUGGCGCAAUUGUACCACCGCCUUGGAGUAACAUUGAUAAAAACCCAUGCGCCGCAUUGCCUGGUGGCUGGCAAAUGCUUUAUUGGGCGCCACUCAAAAAGUGUUUCAAGAUAUUUCAAGUGGGCUAUCCAUGCCCGGACACAAUGGAACUAAGUCCACCCUCCAAUAACAACCAUACAGCAGAAUGUCGAUGUCCACCGGGAACUGCGCAAAGUGUUUUAAAUGAUGAAUGUCAUACAUUGUUUACGAAAGGCCCAUGUAGUGACGGUGAAUAUUUCAGUCCGGUGACCGAUGUGAGGACUCUCAGUACUUGGAAGACAGGAGGAGCGCAGAAACUAGGAAAGUGCAAAUUAGGUCGCAAUUGCCCUAAUGGAUCUGUGUUCUGGCCACCUGAUGAUAAAUGUUAUGCAUUGUAUACACGUGGCCCAUGCCCUAAAGGAAAGCUUUUAACGGUUGGAGCAGGUCAAAUUGGCGAAUGCAAGUGCGAAAAUCGGGGAGCAUUAGCUGCAUAUUUCUAUAAUGAAGAGGAUUCAUGCUAUGAGCAUUUUACAAAGGGCCCAUGCCAAAAGUUUGGUGAAUUAUUUUUGCCCAGUCGAAAAUGUGGAUGUCAUCCCAAACUACCACACUAUUAUGAGAAAACGAAUCAGUGUUUUGAAAUAGGAACGCCGGGACCAUGUUCAAAAGGUCACAUAUUUACUGUUUCGGAAAACACUGACGACCAAAAUCCUCAUGCUUCCUGCGUCUGCAAAACAGGCUACAUCCCUUGGUCUGAUGGUUCAUGCUACCGGCUCUACACCCGUGGUCCAUGCGCUGAAGGACAAUUUCUUAUCAACAGCACUACUUGUACACCAAAUAUCUGUGGAAAAGGGCGUCUUUACUUUCCAGAACAAAAUACCUGUUACAAAAUUGGAUCGCAGGGACCGUGUUCAUUGUAUGAAGUGGUCGUUUUCGACUUCACUUCAAGGCCCUCAGUGGAUGGGAUAUCAUACAACGGAGUUUGUGGUUGCACUGCCUUGAUAAAAGGAUUGGAGCAAACCUGUACUUCCACUCAGGAGGAGGAAAAAUCAGAUAGCUGCGACUCGACUCCUGGAAUGAUCAACAUUAAUGGCAUUUGUUAUAAGCUAUAUACCCAGGGCCCCUGUGGAUCGGGACAAUGGUUAGAGCCAGUGAAACAGUUAUCAUCCGAAGAGCUUACGUCUUCGAAUAAAGUACAAUGCAAAUGUCGACCUGGCUACACGACUUCAGAGACAAAAUCAGGGACAUUACGGUGUUUCGCUCCGACCGUGGGGUUGGCUAGGUAUUUGAAUAGCCAGAAUUUUAAUCAUAGAUCGUACAAGUUUGGCUUCCGUAAAAUAAUUUCUGUAACACAAGUAAAAUGACCUACAUUACCAUAUCUUCUAUGAUAACUCCUUUUCUAGUGAUAUCAUUUAUCUCCUGCCUUUAGAUGCUAGUCAUUUUCCGUGUCUACUCUAUAUGUAAUUUGUUGUGAAUAACAAUCAGACGAUAGUGCAUGAAACUUUUCUCCAUAUUAAUUACUUCUCGAACCAAAUAUGUGUGUAUGUAUAUAACGCAUGGCGAUUAUUACAAUAGAAACAACCACAAAAGGACUAUAAACUGUGAAAGGUCAGUUCUAAAUAAUUCAAUUGUUUUUAUAGGUGGAUACUUCAAUUGAUAGGGUACGAGGAGGCAACCUAGGACUAUGCUAUGAUUAAUUGGUAUUUUACAAAGUUACCGAAAGCACUUUUCCAUAAAUUGUGUAUAGUCGUUAUCGAAUCGUGCCAUGACAACUUUCAUUUUGUUGAGAACUUUACCAAGAAUUAAUUUUAUUAUGUAUGACCCAGUUAUCAAUAAACCUUAAGUUCAAGCUCCAGUUGGUAAACUCUUUCAGUUUUCACGUCAAGUUCACACUAAAUAAAAAAAAAAUUUGAAUGUUAAAGUAUCGAUUUCGAAAUAGGAUUUUAGGAUUUAUAUUUAAUUUGAAUAUAUAUUUUUCUAUUAGUUACAUUAACUGUUGUAUUCAAAAAUAUUGUUAAAAAAUAUAAUUAAGGAAUGUAUAUUCAUUUGAAA